GAUGAACGCUGGCGGCGUGCCUAAUACAUGCAAGUCGAGCGAACAGACGAGGAGCUUGCUCCUCUGACGUUAGCGGCGGACGGGUGAGUAACACGUGGAUAACCUACCUAUAAGACUGGGAUAACUUCGGGAAACCGGAGCUAAUACCGGAUAAUAUAUUGAACCGCAUGGUUCAAUAGUGAAAGACGGUUUUGCUGUCACUUAUAGAUGGAUCCGCGCCGUAUUAGCUAGUUGGUAAGGUAACGGCUUACCAAGGCAACGAUGCGUAGCCGACCUGAGAGGGUGAUAGGCCACACUGGAACUGAGACGCGGUCCAGACGCCUGAGGGAGGCAGCAGUAGGGAAUCUGCCGCAGUGGGCGAAAGCAUGACGGAGCAACGCCGCGUGAGUGAUGACGGUCUUCGGAGCGUAAAACUGUGUUAUUAGGGAAGAACAAAUGUGUAAGUAACUAUGCACGUCUUGACGGUACCUAAUCAGAAAGCCACGGCUAACUACGUG
This 497-nucleotide ribosomal RNA is filed under the name uncultured bacterium. RNAcentral describes it as "partial 16S ribosomal RNA". It matches the Rfam family "Bacterial small subunit ribosomal RNA", at positions 28 to 507 of the family's 1533-position model. The record is from RNAcentral.